This 156-nucleotide ribosomal RNA is filed under the name Escherichia coli. RNAcentral describes it as "partial 16S ribosomal RNA". It matches the Rfam family "Bacterial small subunit ribosomal RNA", at positions 1 to 148 of the family's 1533-position model. Lineage: Bacteria; Pseudomonadati; Pseudomonadota; Gammaproteobacteria; Enterobacterales; Enterobacteriaceae. RNAcentral also lists the same sequence under 17 other names. The record is from RNAcentral.
UUAAAUUGAAGAGUUUGAUCAUGGCUCAGAUUGAACGCUGGCGGCAGGCCUAACACAUGCAAGUCGAACGGUAACAGGAAGCAGCUUGCUGCUUUGCUGACGAGUGGCGGACGGGUGAGUAAUGUCUGGGAAACUGCCUGAUGGAGGGGGAUAACU